RNAcentral lists this ribosomal RNA (253 nucleotides) under uncultured bacterium. RNAcentral describes it as "partial 16S ribosomal RNA". It matches the Rfam family "Bacterial small subunit ribosomal RNA", at positions 524 to 776 of the family's 1533-position model. The record is from RNAcentral.
UACAGAGGGGGCAAGCGUUAUUCGGAAUUAUUGGGCGUAAAGGGCGCGUAGGCGGCAUGGCAAGUGGAUGGUGAAAUCCCUCGGCUUAACCGAGGAACUGCCGUCCAAACUGCUUCGCUUGAGAUCGGGAGAGGUGAGUGGAAUUCCCGGUGUAGUGGUGAAAUGCGUAGAUAUCGGGAGGAACACCAGUGGCGAAGGCGACUACCUGGCCUGUUCUUGACGCUGAGGCGCGAAAGCUAGGGGAGCAAACGGG